This 333-nucleotide ribosomal RNA is filed under the name uncultured bacterium. RNAcentral describes it as "partial 16S ribosomal RNA". It matches the Rfam family "Bacterial small subunit ribosomal RNA", at positions 338 to 668 of the family's 1533-position model. The record is from RNAcentral.
CCUACGGGAGACAGCAGUGAGGAAUAUUGGUCAAUGGGCGAGAGCCUGAACCAGCCAAGUCGCGUGAAGGAUGACGGCCCUAUGGUUUGUAAACUUCUUUUAUAUGGGAAUAAAGUGCGGCACGUGUUCCUUUUUGUAUGUACCAUAUGAAUAAGCAUCGGCUAACUCCGUGCCAGCAGCCGCGGUAAUACGGAGGAUGCGAGCGUUAUCCGGAUUUAUUGGGUUUAAAGGGUGCGUAGGUGGUUUAUUAAGUCAGCUGGGAAAGUUUGUGGCUCAACCCCGGAACUGCCAUUGUGACUAGGAAUCUAGAGUAAAGGUGAGGUAGGCGGAAUA